CCUACGGGUAGCAGCAGUGAGGAAUAUUGGUCAAUGGGCGCGAGCCUGAACCAGCCAAGUAGCGUGAAGGAUGACUGCCCUACGGGUUGUAAACUUCUUUUAUAAAGGAAUAAAGUGUGGCACGUGUGCCUUUUUGUAUGUACUUUAUGAAUAAGGAUCGGCUAAUUCCGUGCCAGCCGCCGCGGUAAUACGGAGGAUACGAGCGUUAUCCGGAUUUAUUGGGGUUAAAGGGAGCGUAGAUGGGUUGGUAAGUCAGUUGUGAAAGUUUGCGGCUCAACCGUAAAAUUGCAAUUGAUACUGGCAGUCUUGAGUACAGUGGAGGUAGGCGGAAUUCGUGGUGUAGCGGUGAAAUGCUUAGAUAUCACGAAGAACUCCGAUUGCGAAGGCAGCUUACUAAACUGCCACUGACAUUGAUGCUCGAAAGUGUGGGUAUCAAACAGGAUUAGAUACCCCAGUAGUC
Molecule: ribosomal RNA, 460 nt
Filed under: uncultured bacterium
Lineage: Bacteria
Description: partial 16S ribosomal RNA
Rfam family: Bacterial small subunit ribosomal RNA
Source: RNAcentral